UACGGAGGGUGCAAGCGUUAUCCGGAUUCACUGGGUUUAAAGGGUGCGUAGGUGGGCAGGUAAGUCAGUGGUGAAAUCUCCGGGCUUAACCCGGAAACUGCCAUUGAUACUAUUUGUCUUGAAUACCGUGGAGGUCAGCGGAAUAUGUCAUGUAGCGGUGAAAUGCUUAGAUAUGACAUAGAACACCAAUUGCGAAGGCAGCUGGCUACACGAAUAUUGACACUGAUGCACGAAAGCGUGGGGAUCAGACAGG
RNAcentral lists this ribosomal RNA (253 nucleotides) under uncultured bacterium. RNAcentral's name for it is "partial 16S ribosomal RNA". It matches the Rfam family "Bacterial small subunit ribosomal RNA", at positions 524 to 776 of the family's 1533-position model. The record is from RNAcentral.